Molecule: ribosomal RNA, 1236 nt
Filed under: metagenome
Description: bacterial LSU rRNA
Rfam family: Bacterial large subunit ribosomal RNA
Source: RNAcentral
UGAGUACGAGAUGCUACGGCAUCGAAGCAGUCUAUGUCAUACUUCCAAGAAAAGCUUGCAAUGUCAUAAACAAAUAAUGCCUGUACCAUAACCGACACAGGUGGGUAGGUAGAGUAUACUAAGGGGCGCGAGAUAACUCUCUCUAAGGAACUCGGCAAAAUGACUCCGUAACUUCGGGAGAAGGAGUGCCUUAUUUUUAUAAGGUUGCAAUAACAAGAUCCAAGCAACUGUUUACCAAAAACACAGGUCUCCGCUAAGUCGUAAGACGAUGUAUGGGGGCUGACGCCUGCCCAAUGCCAGAAGGUUAAAGAAGUUGGUUAGCAUUAGCGAAGCUGAUAACUGAAGCCCUGGUGAACGGCGGCCGUAACUAUAACGGUCCUAAGGUAGCGAAAUUCCUUGUCGGGUAAGUUCCGACCCGCACGAAAGGCGUAAUGAUUUGGAUACUGUCUCGGAGAGGGGCUCGGUGAAAUAGACUUGUCUGUGAAGAUGCGGACUACCUGCACCUGGACAGAAAGACCCUAUGAAGCUUUACUGUAACUUGAGAUUGAAAUUGGACUUUAUCUGCGCAGUAUAGGUGGGAGACGUUGAAAAUAUUCUUGCGGGAAUAUUGGAGUCAUCAGUGAGAUACCACUCUUAUAAUGUUAGAUUUCUAACUUUGUAUCAUUAUCUGGUCAAAGAACAGUUUCAGGCGGGCAGUUUGACUGGGGCGGUCGCCUCCCAAACGGUAACGGAGGCGCACAAAGGUUUCCUCUGAACGUGUAGAAAUCGUAUCUAGAGUGUAAAGGCAUAAGGAAGCUUGACUGUGAGACCUACAAGUCGAGCAGGGACGAAAGUCGGUCUUAGUGAUCUGACGGUGCUGAGUGGAAAGGCCGUCACUCAACGGAUAAAAGUUACUCUAGGAUAACAGGCUGAUCUCCCCCAAGAGUUCACAUCGACGGGGAGGUUUGGCACCUCGAUGUCGGCUCAUCGCAUCCUGGGGCGGUAGUACGUCCCAAGGGUUGGGCUGUUCGCCCAUGAAAGCGGUACGCGAGCUGGGUUCAGAACGUCGUGAGACAGUUCGGUCCAUAUCCGGUGUAGGCGUUAGAAUAUUGAGAGGAGCCUUCUUUAGUACGAGAGGACCGAGAAGGACAUACCUCUGGUGUACCAGUUAUCGUGCCAACGGUAAACGCUGGGUAGCCAUGUAUGGAGAGGAUAACCGCUGAAAGCAUCUAAGUGGGAAGCCCACCUCAAGAUAAG